RNAcentral lists this ribosomal RNA (497 nucleotides) under uncultured bacterium. RNAcentral's name for it is "partial 16S ribosomal RNA". It matches the Rfam family "Bacterial small subunit ribosomal RNA", at positions 28 to 507 of the family's 1533-position model. The record is from RNAcentral.
GAUGAACGCUGGCGGCGUGCCUAAUACAUGCAAGUCGAGCGAACGGACGAGAAGCUUGCUUCUCUGAUGUUAGCGGCGGACGGGUGAGUAACACGUGGAUAACCUACCUAUAAGACUGGGAUAACUUCGGGAAACCGUAGCUAAUACCGGAUAAUAUUUUGAACCGCAUGGUUCAAAAGUGAAAGACGGUCUUGCUGUCACUUAUAGAUGGAUCCGCGCUGCAUUAGCUAGUUGGUAAGGUAACGGCUUACCAAGGCAACGAUGCAUAGCCGACCUGAGAGGGUGAUCGGCCACACUGGAACUGAGACACGGUCCAGACUCCUACGGGAGGCAGCAGUAGGGAAUCUUCCGCAAUGGGCGAAAGCCUGACGGAGCAACGCCGCGUGAGUGAUGAAGGUCUUCGGAUCGUAAAACUCUGUUAUUAGGGAAGAACAGAUGUGUAAGUAACUGUGCACAUCUUGACGGUACCUAAUCAGAAAGCCACGGCUAACUACGUG